GAAGUGAGGCUAGAGUGCUCCCCUGGCCAUACCUGAAAGGGCUUUGUGAGGCAAUCUAAGGCACUGGAAUUUAUCCUGCAAGUCAUGAGACACAGCUGGAUUCUGGGGACACCACCAUGGAAUAUCAGAAAUUGCUUCCAAACAUAAGAAGAUGCUAGAGACAAAAAAGUAUGGCAUCCUGCUGCAAGAAGUGUCACAUUUCAACACCCAUGUGUUCCAUCAUAAACAUAAUGAAGAAAACUCGUAGCAUUUCUACUUCCCAAAUUGGAUGACUCUGUUUGAUUUUCAGAAUCACCUUCACACCCAGAGCACAAACUACAAAAUAAUCUGGAAGUGUUUCUGAUAGGGCCACAGCCUUCACAAAGUCUGCAUCUGGAGGUAAGAAAGUCAACCUACCAUUUUUACUACUGUGGCAAACAGCAGCAUGUAGUCUAGAAAAUAAAUCUUUUGUUCAUGAAUAUAGCUUGAACUCAGUUUAAAUUCUCAGAGCUGACUAACUUGCUGAGUUCUUGUUUGACUUGUUCACCUAUCCUAGCCUGAGUACAAGUUUUCAUCUUUAACAUUAAUCUCUUGUCUCACAUACCUAUAAUUACCCAUUUUUUAAAAUUACUUGAAAAUAUGCUUUAAAAAUAAAUUAUAUGUGUAUUAUUCAUAUUUUUUAUUUUAUUCCACAUAUGAUUUCAUAUCCAUACACAUAUGUAGAACCAAGAAAUGUUAAGGUUGUGGAAUCUAGCCCUUUCAAAUUUAAAAGUAUCUUUUGUCAAUAAAAAAUACUUCUUUCAAUAAAUAUAUAAGUCUAUGAGAAAAGAAUAGUAAAAUUUACAUACAAGCAAAAUUCAACUUAUUACUACAUAAGAAUUUAUAGUUUUAUACUAGCAAUAAUAAUGAGCUGCCACAUAUUUCUUUGCUUUUUUGCAUAAAGUAUUGAAUUUGAUGUUUUGAUAUAUGCAUGAACCUGUAAAAUCACUUCAUAAUCAAGAUAAUGAAGUCACUUGUUACCCUCAAAAGCUUCCUGGAAUUCUGUCAUAACCCUUCACUUCCGUCCCUCCUCACUCUUUCUCUACCAUCUGCAGCCACUCAACUACUUUAUUACAGAUUUGUUUGCAUUUUUAUAGAUAAAUACGAUCAUAUAGUAUGUAUUAGCUUGACUUCCUGUUUAAAAGCACCAUAAGGAUCAUGAAAUUUGCUCAUAUUUUGUAUGCAUACUUAUAUUUCAUUGCUUAGUAGUAUUCUAGCAUUUGAAUAUACCACAAAUUGUUUAUCUGUUUACUUGUUGAUAGAAAUUUGAGGUUGUGCAUACUUCUUGGCUAUUAAAGUAUUACAUAUUUCUAAGAAGAUUUUCAGUAUUCUAAACAAUUUUUUAAAUAAACACACGUAAUUGAUGUGUUCAUAUAGUGUGACUGAAAGCUCAAAACAAAGUAAUUCUAUAAUAGGACAAUUGAUGCUCUACUUGACACUGGUCGUGAAUUUCAAGAUUCAUUCAUUCCCUGAUUAGCCCAAGUGCUGGUGACCAAUGAAGAGACAGGAUUAAGGAACCUUUGAGUAGUUAAUUCUCAAAAAUAUCUGAUUAUUUAGAUAUAGAUAUUAAAGACCAAAAUUAUACAUUAUAGUAGACAAAUGAGACAUCACGCAGGCAAUGGGUUCACUGAAGCAGCAAAGACAGCAAAACUUAUACUGCUGCCCUGAGUCACACACCAUGGCAAGUUUCA
Cavia porcellus (domestic guinea pig) is the source of this 1709-nucleotide long non-coding RNA. RefSeq lists it as uncharacterized. The transcript is spliced from 2 exons. The record is from RefSeq and is a predicted model, not a curated record. NCBI's taxonomy places the organism in Eukaryota, Metazoa, Chordata, Mammalia, Rodentia, Caviidae.